This 733-nucleotide long non-coding RNA is filed under the name Manihot esculenta (cassava). RNAcentral's name for it is "long non-coding RNA (MESC_LNC006707)". The record is from RNAcentral. Lineage: Eukaryota; Viridiplantae; Streptophyta; Magnoliopsida; Malpighiales; Euphorbiaceae.
AUGUAAUCACUGUUUCCUGCAAAGUACCAACCCGCUUGAUUUUUUUUGUGAAAAAAUCAGUAUUAUCCCAUACAAACAAAUCAAAUUGGUAAUGGCAAAGAUUAAAAGUAAACCCAGUAAACCCAUACCCAACCCAAGACAAACAAAUUGAGGGGAAAAAAAGAGAGAAAACACAAGCAUCUAACUGAGCCACAGUACAAAAAAGAGGUUGAUGGUCAAGUACAAAAGAGAGAAAACACAAAUUGCCAAAAGCGGUAGUACCUUUGCUCUCAAGAGAUCAGUUCACAGUCGGCGGCGAAACUCACCAAAUCGACGGGAAAGAGGUUGAUGGUCGACGGUCGGCGGUCGGAGGUCGACGAGAAAAAGAUUGACGAUCGACGUGAAAGAGAAAGAGAGGCCAGGGGAAGGAAUCGGGAUUCGAGAGAGAGAAUAGGGGUUCGGGGGGAAUCGGGUUCGGGAGAGGAGAUUGCAGAAUGUGGAGAAUGGGAUGAACGAAGGGGUUCAGCGAAAUCGAUUGAUGGGGUUGGGCUGCUGCCUGCUGGGUUGGGUUAACAUGUUUAAACCGGUUUUUCGGUUUUUCGGUUUGAUCGGUUAUUUAACAUGUUUAAACCGAACCGAACCGAAAACCGAAUAAUUUUAAAUUUAUAAACCGAACCAAACCGAUCAUACCGAUUAACCGAACCAAAAAACCGAAAUUAAUCGGUUCGGUUCGGUUUUUCGGUUUAAACCGAAA